RNAcentral lists this ribosomal RNA (253 nucleotides) under uncultured bacterium. Its description in RNAcentral is "partial 16S ribosomal RNA". It matches the Rfam family "Bacterial small subunit ribosomal RNA", at positions 524 to 776 of the family's 1533-position model. The record is from RNAcentral.
GACGAACCGAGCGAACGGUGUUCGGAAUCACUGGGCUUAAAGGGCGCGUAGGCGGGUGAUCAAGUCCGGGGUGAAAUCCUCCAGCUCAACUGGAGAACUGCCUCGGAUACUGGUUGCCUCGAGGAAGGUGGGGGUGUGUGGAACGUUCAGUGGAGCGGUGAAAUGCAUUGAUAUUGAACGGAACUCCGGUGGCGACGGCGACACACUGGACCUUUUCUGACGCUGAGGCGCGAAAGCUAGGGGAGCAAACGGG